RNA transcript from Carlito syrichta (Philippine tarsier), 1008 nucleotides. It is a transcript of the gene named phosphatidylethanolamine N-methyltransferase, with no coding region annotated. Lineage: Eukaryota; Metazoa; Chordata; Mammalia; Primates; Tarsiidae. The record is from RefSeq and is a predicted model, not a curated record. The transcript is spliced from 7 exons.
UGUAGUAACCUUUGCUGGACUUGGAUGUCCCCGAGCCGCCCAAUGUGUUCCCGGAGGGUAACUUUGUCUCUGACAUCUGGGGGCUGGCAGGUCCUGGCUGUGUCAGGGCGGUGCUGAUGCCGGCUCUGUCUCUGCAGGCAGACCUGUGCAUUAUGACCCGGCUGCUGGGCUACGUGGACCCCUUGGAUCCCAGCUUCGUGGCAGCCGUCCUCGCCAUCGCUUUCAAUCCACUCUACUGGAAUGUGGUCGCGAGAUGGGAGCAGAGAACCCGCAAGCUGAGCAAGGCCUUCGGGUCCCCCUACCUGGCCUGCUACUCCCUGGGCGCCACCAUCCUGCUCCUGAAUGUCCUGCGCUCACACUGCUUCACACAGGCCAUGCUGAGCCAGCCCACGUUGGAAAGCCUGGACCACCCUGCGGCCUACCUCCUGGGCCUCGCCCUCCUUGGAGUGGGCGUCGUGCUCGUGCUCUCCAGCUUCUUCGCGCUGGGGUUCACUGGAACCUUUCUAGGUGAUUACUUUGGGAUUCUCAAGGAGGCAAGAGUGACCACGUUCCCCUUCAGCAUCCUGGAUAACCCCAUGUACUGGGGAAGCACAGCCAACUACCUGGGCUGGGCCAUCAUCUCAGCCCUUGCCUGAGCUGGUGGGGUCAGAGGCAUGCCAGCCCCACGGGCCUGCUGCUGACGGUGCUGGUGGCCUUCAUCUACGUGGUCGCUGUCCUGUACGAGGAGCCCUUCACCACUGAGAUCUACCGGCAGAAAGCCUCCAGGCCCCACAGAAGCUGACUGGGCCGCAGCAGCCUCAGAGAAGUCCCGGCUGGCCUCCUGGACUGGCCGCACGGGACACAGUGGGACCCGGCUGCAUCUUGGGGCUCGCGCCUGGUGGGGGCCACUCCAGUGCCUUGGAACCUGCUGCCUUGGGGGCCCGGGACAUGCCGCCGUGUGGCCGCUGAGCCCCCCUGCCCCGAUGCCUCUUCACAUCCCCACUCCACAAUAAAGGCAUCCUGACCCCA